Molecule: ribosomal RNA, 614 nt
Filed under: Lactobacillus gasseri
Lineage: Bacteria; Bacillati; Bacillota; Bacilli; Lactobacillales; Lactobacillaceae
Description: bacterial SSU rRNA
Rfam family: Bacterial small subunit ribosomal RNA
Source: RNAcentral
AUGGACGCAAGUCUGAUGGAGCAACGCCGCGUGAGUGAAGAAGGGUUUCGGCUCGUAAAGCUCUGUUGGUAGUGAAGAAAGAUAGAGGCAGUAACUGGCCUUUAUUUGACGGUAAUUACUUAGAAAGUCACGGCUAACUACGUGCCAGCAGCCGCGGUAAUACGUAGGUGGCAAGCGUUGUCCGGAUUUAUUGGGCGUAAAGCGAGUGCAGGCGGUUCAAUAAGUCUGAUGUGAAAGCCUUCGGCUCAACCGGAGAAUUGCAUCAGAAACUGUUGAACUUGAGUGCAGAAGAGGAGAGUGGAACUCCAUGUGUAGCGGUGGAAUGCGUAGAUAUAUGGAAGAACACCAGUGGCGAAGGCGGCUCUCUGGUCUGCAACUGACGCUGAGGCUCGAAAGCAUGGGUAGCGAACAGGAUUAGAUACCCUGGUAGUCCAUGCCGUAAACGAUGAGUGCUAAGUGUUGGGAGGUUUCCGCCUCUCAGUGCUGCAGCUAACGCAUUAAGCACUCCGCCUGGGGAGUACGACCGCAAGGUUGAAACUCAAAGGAAUUGACGGGGGCCCGCACAAGCGGUGGAGCAUGUGGUUUAAUUCGAAGCAACGCGAAGAACCUUACCA